Molecule: small nuclear RNA, 102 nt
Organism: Octodon degus (degu)
Lineage: Eukaryota; Metazoa; Chordata; Mammalia; Rodentia; Octodontidae
Source: Ensembl
GUGCUUGCUAGGCAGCACAUAUACUAAAAUGGGGUACGGAGAAGAUGAGCAUGGCCCCUGCGCAAGGAGGACAUGCAAGUUCUUGAAGCGUUCCAUAAUAAA